RNAcentral lists this ribosomal RNA (432 nucleotides) under uncultured bacterium. Its description in RNAcentral is "partial 16S ribosomal RNA". It matches the Rfam family "Bacterial small subunit ribosomal RNA", at positions 29 to 507 of the family's 1533-position model. The record is from RNAcentral.
AACGAACGCUGGCGGCAUGCCUAACACAUGCAAGUCGAACGAGACCUUCGGGUCUAGUGGCGCACGGGUGCGUAACGCGUGGGAACCUGCCCUUAGGUUCGGAAUAACUCCCCGAAAGGGGUGCUAAUACCGGAUAAUUUCUUCGGACCAAAGAUUUAUCGCCUUUGGAUGGGCCCGCGUUGGAUUAGCUAGUUGGUAGGGUAAAGCCUACCAAGGCGACGAUCCAUAGCUGGUCUGAGAGGAUGAUCAGCCACACUGGGACUGAGACACGGCCCAGACUCCUACGGGAGGCAGCAGUGGGGAAUAUUGGACAAUGGGCGAAAGCCUGAUCCAGCAAUGCCGCGUGAGUGAUGAAGGCCUUAGGGUUGUAAAGCUCUUUUACCCGGGAUGAUAAUGACAGUACCGGGAGAAUAAGCUCCGGCUAACUCCGUG